This 875-nucleotide ribosomal RNA is filed under the name uncultured eukaryote. RNAcentral describes it as "bacterial SSU rRNA". The stretch from base 3 to 560 matches the Rfam family "Eukaryotic small subunit ribosomal RNA", at positions 34 to 594 of the family's 1831-position model. The record is from RNAcentral.
GGACGUACUAGAUAGCAUGCAUGUCUAGUAUAAAGGUUACAUACAAUGAAACUGCGAAUGGCUCAUUCAAACAGUUAUAGUUUAUUUGAUAUUCAAACUUAUAUUUAUAUUAGUUUAAAUGGAUAACCGUAGUAAUUCUAGAGCUAAUACAUGCGUUACGGGGGACUUUAUGGAACCUCAGUAUUUAUUAGAUUUCCAAACCAAUAUUCCGCAAGGUCUACUGAGAUGAUUCAUGAUAACUGAUCGAAUUGCUGGGUCUACCGGCAAUAAAUCAUUCAUGUUUCUGCUUCCCAUCAGCUUGAUGGUAGUGUAUUGGACAACCAUGGCAUUCACGGGCUAUCGGGGGAUUAGGGUUCGAUUCCGGAGAGGGAGCCUGAGAAACGGCUACCACUUCUACGGAAGGCAGCAGGCGCGAAAAUUAUCCAAUCCUGAUUCAGGGAGGUAGUGAAAGAUAUAAUGAACUAGGAUUUAUCCUGGGAUCACAAUGGGCUUGAUUUGCAAACUUUAUUAACGAGGAUCAAUUGGAGGGCAAGUCUGGUCCCCCCGUGCCCCCGCCCCGCCCGGGGCGCGCCCCGGGCGAGGCGGGGGCACGGGGGGACCAGACUUGCGCUAUAAUUGAUCCUCGGUAAAAUAGUGUUCCAAACGACUAGUAGUGUCGUUAGGGGGAGUGUACUACCGGUUUAUCUAUUCCUGCUUACUCCAAAAAGUUUCGAGCAGCUUCCGCGCACAAGCCCAGGGGCUGCCUUCUGCAUCAUACGCCACCUGAUGCUGCGCAUUUCACAGGAAACAUGAAUUCCACCCCCCACGGCAGGGACCCAAGCCUGCCGGACACAGCCGAAGCCACGCGUUUACCCCGUGGAUUCCGAACUGUACUC